GACGAACGCUGGCGGCGUGCUUAACACAUGCAAGUCGAACGGAAAGGCCCCAGCUUGCUGGGGUACUCGAGUGGCGAACGGGUGAGUAACACGUGGGUGAUCUGCCCUGCACUCUGGGAUAAGCCUGGGAAACUGGGUCUAAUACCGGAUAGGACCGUGCUCUAGUGUGUGCGGUGGAGAGUUUUUCGGUGCAGGAUGAGCCCGCGGCCUAUCAGCUUGUUGGUGGGGUAAUGGCCUACCAACGCGGCGACGGGUAGCCGGCCUGAGAGGGUGUACGGCCACAUUGGGACUGAGACACGGCCCAGACUCCUACGGGAGGCAGCAGUGGGGAAUAUUGCACAAUGGGCGCAAGCCUGAUGCAGCGACGCCGCGUGGGGGAUGACGGCCUUCGGGUUGUAAACCGCUUUCGGCAGGGACGAAGCGUUUGUGACGGUACCUGGAUAAGAAGCACCGGCUAACUACGUG
Molecule: ribosomal RNA, 465 nt
Filed under: uncultured bacterium
Lineage: Bacteria
Description: partial 16S ribosomal RNA
Rfam family: Bacterial small subunit ribosomal RNA
Source: RNAcentral